ACAGAGCCAAAAUAAUGCAAAACAGAAAAUGGAUAUAUGUAAUAGAUCAAACUUAUUAUGAACACUCUAAUUAACUCUAUAUGCUGAAUUCCCCGAGACUCUUCGGUCUAAGCUUAUAAUUCCCAUUUGAACAUGAAAUUAGUCAGUUGGUCGAUUAGAGAUGUGGAUUUCAACCAGGAAUGCCAAAUGGAUGACAUCCCCUCCUCUGUCCCUGUACA
This 218-nucleotide long non-coding RNA is filed under the name Solanum tuberosum (potato). RNAcentral describes it as "long non-coding RNA (STUB_LNC011757)". The record is from RNAcentral. Lineage: Eukaryota; Viridiplantae; Streptophyta; Magnoliopsida; Solanales; Solanaceae.